RNAcentral lists this ribosomal RNA (621 nucleotides) under Triticum aestivum (bread wheat). RNAcentral's name for it is "partial small subunit ribosomal RNA". The record is from RNAcentral. Lineage: Eukaryota; Viridiplantae; Streptophyta; Magnoliopsida; Poales; Poaceae.
AUGAUAGGAUGGAUGGACUCACAAACUAAUACUGACCAGCAUCCCUUGCACAGUGCACGUAGCGGCCGCCAUGUAUCCCUGCGCACCCGAGUCAUUUACCUAUACAACAACAACACUAAAAGAGAACUGCAGAAAUCACAAACCACCAAGCCGGCAGAAGAAGGACGAAGGAAACACAAACCCACCAUCAGACGCACCCCACAACAUCCCUCCCAAGAAACCGAUGCAGAGGAAGAAGAAACCGGCAGCAGCAGAUCCGCCCCACCCCCGGCGAAGAGGCAGGCAUCGGACCUCCUCCCUCCGAAGAGGCAGGCACCGAACACGCAGCCGAAGACCACCAAACACCCCGCUCACCAAAAACACCGCCGCCGCCAAAUUCAAAGGAGAAAAGGAAGGACGACGACCCUCGUAGCAGUAAAAGAAAAAAAACAUCACCUACACGCGGGCGCGUACACAAGCACCACGAAUACACACAAGCCAACCGAUAGAGCGAGACCAACAAGCCAGCGACAAAUACACUUACAAAAAGAACCCACCCCGCAAGCCACACACCUCGGUCAACCAGGAGCCUCCCCAUCAGUGGAGCUUAGAGUUUUCACCAACAGAUGCAUCCUGAUAUAG